CCAAAAACAUCGCCUCUUGAAAAAACAUAGGAGGUCCAGCCUGCCCAGUGAAAAAUUUAACGGCCGCGGUACCCUGACCGUGCGAAGGUAGCAUAAUCACUUGUCCCUUAAAUAGGGACUAGCAUCAACGGCAUCACGAAGGCUGAACUGUCUCUUUUCUCCAAUCAGUGAAACUGAUCUCCCCGUGAAAAAGCGGGGAUUGACUUAUAAGACGAGAAGACCCCAUGGAGCUUUAGGUAAUGUAUACACCUAAAUUUGUUACACCAACUAAAUAUGAUAGCUUGAUUACUAACCUUAGGUUGGGAGGACCGCGGAGUACAACUAAACCCCCACAACAAAAAGGCAACACCUUUAUCCACGAGCUACAGCUCUAAGAAUUAAAAUAUUAAUGUCCAAUGACCCGAUAAUUCGAUCAACGAACCAAGUUACCCUGGGGAUAACAGCACAAUCUGCUUAAAGAGCUCAUAUCGACAAGCAGGUUUAUGACCUCGAUGUUGGAUCAGGGUAUCCCAGUGGUGCAGCCGCUACUAUAGGUUUGUUUGUUCAACAAUUAAACCCUACGUGAUCU
Molecule: ribosomal RNA, 568 nt
Filed under: Indosylvirana aurantiaca (small wood frog)
Lineage: Eukaryota; Metazoa; Chordata; Amphibia; Anura; Ranidae
Description: partial 16S rRNA
Rfam family: Bacterial large subunit ribosomal RNA
Source: RNAcentral